This 270-nucleotide ribosomal RNA is filed under the name Acetobacteraceae bacterium D05_38. RNAcentral describes it as "partial 16S ribosomal RNA". It matches the Rfam family "Bacterial small subunit ribosomal RNA", at positions 54 to 345 of the family's 1533-position model. Lineage: Bacteria; Pseudomonadati; Pseudomonadota; Alphaproteobacteria; Acetobacterales; Acetobacteraceae. The record is from RNAcentral.
UUACCAUGCNAGUCGCACGAAACCUUUCGGGGUUAGUGGCGGACGGGUGAGUAACGCGUAGGAACCUAUCUGGAGGUGGGGGAUAACAUCGGGAAACUGGUGCUAAUACCGCAUGAUGCCUGAGGGCCAAAGGAGAGAUCCGCCAUUGGAGGGGCCUGCGUUCGAUUAGCUAGUUGGUUGGGUAAAGGCUGACCAAGGCGAUGAUCGAUAGCUGGUUUGAGAGGAUGAUCAGCCACACUGGGACUGAGACACGGCCCAGACUCCUACGGG